GUAGUUCCGGAGGCGACUGCGACGCAUGGCGGCGAGCGGUGUGGAGAAGACGCGCGGGUGGCGGGGCCUUGCACUGCGGCGGCCCUCCGGCACCCUUGUGCUGCCCCCCUUCCUCCAGGCCCUAGGACCUCAUGCCGGGGAGGCAGCGUGGGCCCCAGGCCCCGGUACUCUGCGCCUCCCGCAGACGCCGGCUUCCCGGCCCGGUUUCCAGCGCCGGGAAUCCUUCCACUGUCUGUCUCUGCCCAGGGCAACCCCUGCGCAGUAACGCGGACCCCAUAGCGCACCCGUUAGGCGAUGAAGGCGCAAAAGAAGAGGAAGAAAACCCGGAACAGGGCCUCGGUGGCAAAUGGAGGCGAGAAGGCCUCAGAGAAGCCCGCCCCAGAGGAAGUUCCCGUACAAGCAGUUGGCCCAGGGAUUGGCUUGGUGCGUGGAGCGACUGCAGCUGGGUCUCCAGAGGCAGAAACUCACCCCGACACGAGUAAGAGACGUGGAUUGUGUGAUGCCCCAUUAUUUUAUGUUAUCAGUAAGAUAAUUUUUAAAAUGCUACAAAUGAUUUUGAGUCCAGCUCGAGCAACAUAGUGGGACACCUGUCUCUUAACAACAACAGCCAAAACAAACAAACAAGCAAUAGCAAAACCCUCAAGUUUCGGAUAUACUCCUGAUUAAGAAACCCAGAAUAGAAUAACCCAUGGACUCUUUAAUAAUAAGGAAAAUAAGUGCAUUUGAAGCCAGUCUUACUUCAGAGGUCAUUUCUAUAAUCACCCGUUUGGAGCAGCAGUGCCCGACAUCAGCAUCUGGGAUCCUGACACGAUUGAUAGAACCGAAUCAAGCAAGACAAUACCACCCCACUUUUAUUCGCUGUGAUUUGCAAGAAAGAGAAAAUGGUGGAAUUUUUAUUGAAAAAGCAAAUACACAUGCCGUUGAUAGGCCGAGAUUGUACAGCAGUUCUUUUUUAAAGCGAAAAGCUGUUUAUUCUAGAGUUGUAAGAGUCAAGUCAGAAGUACUAAUAAGCUGCACGUAAUUAUUGGCAUAUAGUGAAAAAUAUCACCACGAACAAUCAGGUAGACCAGCAAGUAUUUGGACUAACAAAGAAGAGCAUAUGACGGAGUCUCACUCCGUUGCCAGCCUGGAGUGCGUUGGUGUGAUCUCGGCUCACUGCAUCCUCCACGUCCCAGGUUCGAGCGAUUCUCCUGCCUCAACCUGCCACGUAGCUGGGACUACAGAACAGCCCUCAUGCUUGCUGUGCACUAUGACCCGCCAGGUAUUGUCAACAUCCUUCUUAAGCAAAAUGUUAAGAGCUCUACUCAAGACAUGUGUGGAUGAGAGGCUGAAGACUUCCCUCUUGUGGGUUGACAAAACGGAGUCUCACUCCGUUGCCAGCCUGGAGUGCGUUGGUGUGAUCUCGGCUCACUGCAUCCUCCACGUCCCAGGUUCGAGCGAUUCUCCUGCCUCAACCUCCCACGUAGCUGGGACUACAGAUUCCACUUCUGCAAGACUCUACAGAAGUCUCCAACCUUCAAAUCUUCAGUCUCCGAAAGCACCGAUUCCUGAAAGGAUGGCCUCAAAUGACCAAGUAUACGAGCCGUCUAUAUCCCUGCUCCUGAAAAACAAGCUAACUGGACUCUCCAUCACCUUCCCCCAGCACAGACGCACUACCAGCUACGCAGCUGAACUCCAUGACUGACUUGCCAUCCAAUCAUGCCCCUGACCCAGCCUACAUGAACAAGGGAAGGAACAUCAGCGAAUUAGGAAAAGAGGCAGAGGUGAGGAGACCACCUGUCCUGGGCCACAGAGCUAUGUAGAGUUCAUCAAUCUCCAGCCCCUUAGUAUUCCAGGGGCUCUAAACCACCUUCUGUAAGUCAGGAUGGAAGUAGAUGGUGCCACGAAGAUUUCUCUCUGCUGUAGCCACUCCUUCAGUGUCUCAAAAUGUUUUAACAUCUUUCAGUAAAAAUCUGUCAGUCCUUGAUAAAUUAAAAAAAAAAAAGGCAGCAAAGUUUUUAGAGCUCCCUUGAACCUUCUAUUUUAAGGCGCCUUUGUAGAUAAUUCCCAACAUUCUGUGUGUCGGUCAUCUUUGGAAUUUAUCGAUCGAUCAUUGUUUCUCUUCAAACUUGGCCUUGCCCUGCCCAUUCCAUUCUUACCCGCUUUCAUUGGCUUCACUAGUCAAUUCCACACUCAUUCUAGACACUGGGUGCACGAGACUCACUCCCGUUUGUAUUACCAAAACUCAGGCCAAUAGGAUAUAAAAAGUAGGAAGAAUACUGGGAUUUAACAUGAGUACAAAUCUCAUUUCUUCCAAUUCCUAUGUCUUCUUGAAUCCUAAUCUUUCUGAGACUCAAGUUUUCUAUCUAAACGAUCCCUUGACCAGAAUGUUCAACAGACGUGACAAUACUAGAACGUGUUUUAAUUCAUUCUAAGAUUCCUUAAAAUUCUGUAAUUCUAUGUGCUGCUGAUUCUGGGAAUACAUAGCCAGCAGAAUUUGAAAAACGAAUAGAAUUAAAGAAAUAACAAAGACAAAAAAAAAAAAAAA
Molecule: long non-coding RNA, 2527 nt
Organism: Macaca mulatta (Rhesus monkey)
Lineage: Eukaryota; Metazoa; Chordata; Mammalia; Primates; Cercopithecidae
Source: Ensembl